Molecule: ribosomal RNA, 399 nt
Filed under: uncultured bacterium
Lineage: Bacteria
Description: bacterial SSU rRNA
Rfam family: Bacterial small subunit ribosomal RNA
Source: RNAcentral
AAUCAACGCUGGCGGCGUGCCUAACACAUGCAAGUCGAACGCGAAAGUCCCGGAAGGGAUGAGUAGAGUGGCAAACGGGUGGGUAACGCGUGGGUGACCUGCCUUCGAGCGGGGGAUAACGUCCCGAAGGGAACGCUAAUACCGCUUAACAUCCUGCUUUUCAACAAGUGGAGAUCAAAGCUGGGGAUCGCAAGACCUAGCACUCGAAGAGGGGCCCGCGUCUGAUUAGCUAGUUGGUGAGGUAACGGCUCACCAAGGCGACGAUCAGUAUCCGGCCUGAGAGGGCGGACGGACACACUGGGACUGAGACACGGCCCAGACUCCUACGGGAGCAGCAGUGGGGAAUUGUUCGCAAUGGGCGCAAGCCUGACGACGCAACGCCGCGUGGGGAUGAAGGUC